GGUUAAGCGACUAAGCGUACACGGUGGAUGCCCUGGCAGUCAGAGGCGAUGAAGGACGUGCUAAUCUGCGAUAAGCGUCGGUAAGGUGAUAUGAACCGUUAUAACCGGCGAUUUCCGAAUGGGGAAACCCAGUGUGAUUCGUCACACUAUCAUUAACUGAAUCCAUAGGUUAAUGAGGCGAACCGGGGGAACUGAAACAUCUAAGUACCCCGAGGAAAAGAAAUCAACCGAGAUUCCCCCAGUAGCGGCGAGCGAACGGGGAGCAGCCCAGAGCCUGAAUCAGUGUGUGUGUUAGUGGAAGCGUCUGGAAAGGCGCGCGAUACAGGGUGAUAGCCCCGUACACAAAAAUGCACAUGCUGUGAGCUCGAUGAGUAGGGCGGGACACGUGGUAUCCUGUCUGAAUAUGGGGGGACCAUCCUCCAAGGCUAAAUACUCCUGACUGACCGAUAGUGAACCAGUACCGUGAGG
RNAcentral lists this ribosomal RNA (468 nucleotides) under Escherichia coli. RNAcentral describes it as "partial 23S ribosomal RNA". It matches the Rfam family "Bacterial large subunit ribosomal RNA", at positions 1 to 508 of the family's 2925-position model. The record is from RNAcentral. Lineage: Bacteria; Pseudomonadati; Pseudomonadota; Gammaproteobacteria; Enterobacterales; Enterobacteriaceae.